AACUCUAUACAGUAGUUCUAAAUAUUAACAAAAAUAAAAACUGAUCUAAUACAGUGUUUUAUAUAGUGUUUCCUCUUGUUUAAGUGAGCCCUUAGUGAAUUUUGCAAAAUAAUUUAAUUAAGCCUUGUGUUUUGUAGUAUUGAAGUACUAUGAGAGAGAGAGAAGUGAACACUUCAUGCUGAAAGGAAGCUGUUCACUUACAGAUGCGAUGAAUGCAGACUCUGUUACCAUUUUGGCUGUUUAGACCCUCCCUUGAAAAAGUCUCCAAAGCAAACUGGCUAUGGAUGGAUCUGUCAGGAAUGUGACUCUACAUCUUCCAAAGACUCCGAGCCGUCAAAUGAGGUGGUCUCAGAGGCCCCAGGUAAUGUGGUACCCUCUACCUCAAGAAGUAGCUCUGAAGAGCUGAUAUCGGUGGCACAGAAACAUCCAGAAGAGGAAACCUUGAGAGGGGAGAACCAGUAUGCAGAAUUUCCAAAUUCAGAACUCACUGUGAAACAACCCAUCUAAGUUACAUUUGGGUAAGUCAGCACAGUAAGCA
Molecule: non-coding RNA, 538 nt
Organism: Meleagris gallopavo (turkey)
Lineage: Eukaryota; Metazoa; Chordata; Aves; Galliformes; Phasianidae
Source: RefSeq, a predicted model, not a curated record